AGAAUCAACGCUGGCGGCGUGCCUAACACAUGCAAGUCGAACGAGAAAGUGGAGCAAUCCAUGAGUAAAGUGGCGCACGGGUGAGUAACACGUGACUAACCUACCCUUGAGUGGGGGAUAACCUAGGGAAACCUGGGCUAAUACCGCAUAAUACCUUCGGGUCAAAGGAGCAAUUCGCUUAAGGAGGGGGUCGCGGCCGAUUAGUUAGUUGGCGGGGUAAUGGCCCACCAAGACGAUGAUCGGUAUCCGGCCUGAGAGGGCGCACGGACACACUGGAACUGAAACACGGUCCAGACUCCUACGGGAGGCAGCAGUGGGGAAUUUUGCGCAAUGGGGGAAACCCUGACGCAGCAACGCCGCGUGGAGGAUGAAGUCCCUUGGGACGUAAACUCCUUUCGAUCGGGACAUAAUGACGGUACCGGAAGAAGAAGCCCGGCUAACUUCGUGCCAGCAGCCGC
Molecule: ribosomal RNA, 458 nt
Filed under: uncultured bacterium
Lineage: Bacteria
Description: SSU rRNA
Rfam family: Bacterial small subunit ribosomal RNA
Source: RNAcentral